This 72-nucleotide transfer RNA is filed under the name Candidatus Buchananbacteria bacterium RBG_13_36_9. Its description in RNAcentral is "tRNA-Thr". It matches the Rfam family "tRNA". Rfam says of the family: Transfer RNA (tRNA) molecules are approximately 80 nucleotides in length. Their secondary structure includes four short double-helical elements and three loops (D, anti-codon, and T loops). The record is from RNAcentral. Lineage: Bacteria; Candidatus Buchananiibacteriota.
GCCGGGAUAGCUCAAUGGUAGAGCAGCUGUUUUGUAAACAGCAGGUUGUGGGUUCAAAUCCCUCUCCCGGCU